Molecule: long non-coding RNA, 24655 nt
Filed under: Vitis vinifera (wine grape)
Lineage: Eukaryota; Viridiplantae; Streptophyta; Magnoliopsida; Vitales; Vitaceae
Description: long non-coding RNA (VVIN_LNC005723)
Source: RNAcentral
GAUGUUAGGCAGGAGAGUGUUCGGCGACGGCAGUGGAGGCGAAGAUCCGAAGGCCGACGAGUUCAAAGAGAUGGUGGUGGAGCUGAUGGUCCUGGCCGGAGUUUUCAACAUCGGCGACUUUGUGCCGGCGCUGGAAUGGCUGGACCUGCAGGGCGUGGCUGCCAAGAUGAAGAAGCUCCAUGCUCGGUUUGACGCUUUCCUGGGCGCCAUCGUGGAGGAGCACAAGAUCAGCGGCUCUGCUGGUUCCGAGCGUCACGUGGACUUACUCAGCACGUUGAUCUCGGUGAGGGAUAAUGCCGACGGUGAGGGAGGCAAGCUCACCGACGUUGAGAUCAAAGCCUUGCUCUUGGUAUCUCUCAUUAUCCAUUUUCUUUCGUUCCUUUUAAAAAAAAAAUAAUUAUAUUUAUUUACAUUUUUUCCAGAAAAAAAAAAAAAAUUAUUAAUGGGGUCAAAUCUCCCAAAUAAAGUUUGAUAUGGACAUUACAAUAAACUUUUGUUUACUUGUAAAAGUAAGAAUUAUUAUCUGUCACUGUUUCGUCUACUUCUUGUGGUAAUUUGGUACCUGAAAUUGAUGAAAACCGUCUGUUGACAUGGCAGAACUUGUUCACAGCUGGAACUGACACCUCAUCCAGCACAGUAGAGUGGGCCAUUGCAGAGCUCAUUCGCCACCCUGAAAUGAUGGCCCAAGCCCAACAAGAGCUGGACGCAGUGGUGGGCCGAAGCAGGCUUGUAACUGAUUUGGACCUGCCCCAACUCACCUAUGUCCAAGCCAUAAUCAAGGAAACCUUCCGCCUGCACCCAUCCACGCCCCUCUCCCUCCCUCGGAUGGCGGCGGAGAGCUGUGAGAUCAACGGCUACCACAUCCCCAAAAACGCCACUCUUCUAGUGAACGUGUGGGCCAUAGCGCGGGACCCAGAGGUGUGGGAGGAGCCACUAGAAUUCAGGCCCAACAGGUUCCUCCCAGGAGGGGAAAGACCAAAUGCGGACGUGAGAGGGAAUGAUUUUGAAGUGAUUCCAUUCGGGGCUGGCCGGAGAAUAUGCGCGGGGAUGAGCUUGGGACUGAGGAUGGUGCACCUGUUAACCGCGACGCUUGUUCAUGCGUUCAACUGGGAGUUGCCGGAAGGCCAGGUGGCGGAGAAGCUGAACAUGGAUGAGGCAUAUGGGCUGACCCUACAACGAGCCGCCCCACUCAUGGUGCACCCACGGCCAAGGCUGUCACCCCAAGUUUUCGGGAAGUAAAUGAGGUUGUUUGCCCAUGAUUAAAAUAGAAGACUUGGUGAUGGAUUUGGCUGAAUAAUUAUGAUGUUCGAGAGCGAGUUUAGUAGUUUUGUGAUGGGUUUUCCCUCAACCACCUGCAUGUUAAUACUGUAAACGAUGAUUCUCAAGGGGUAUCUAAUAAUGCAAUAUGUUGGUUUAAAAUUUAAAAUAUUUACUUCACAAUAUCGAGCGUAGGAGAAGAAACUAGAAAGUCAUAUGAUGAAUAAUGUCCCCAAAACUCAAACAGAGAUCAUCACAAUCUAAAGAGUCGUGCAAGGCGGCGAGUGUACCAACUACCAAUAAAAGCACGAAAGCUGAACAAGGAGUAGCUUCAUCUGUCAUCUGACCAACCAGCCUCCUCACAAAAUACCAUAUUCCAAGUCAAAGGUAGUAUAUAUGAUUUAUUGGACGAGAAGUUGAGGCUCCAAACAUCUUUAAUACAGCACCUUUCAAACAAGAUACUUGAAAAUGUACAAAAUCACCUCAUCUCGAAACCAGGAUUAUAAAAGAAGACGACCUCCCGGACCUAUCAGAUGACCUGAUCGUACAAAAUCACCUCAUCCCGAAACCAAGACUAUAAAAGAAGACGACAUCCCGUACCUAUAAUAUGACCUAAUUGACCGACAUGUGUCUAAAAAGACGAGUCCAAUUACCCUUAUCCCCUUUAUCCUUAUAUGCACAAAAGUCAAUAAAGCCUACCGUAAAAAGUGUGCUGAAACAACUCCUUCAUAAAGAAAGUAACUUUAAAAGAGAAGUCUCUUCCUCCUUAAGGGCUCUCUCUCUCUCUCUCCAUCUUAAAGAAGAGAAAAUGUAUCUUUGUAUCCAAAAUGAUUGAAUAAAAUAUCUAAUAUGUUUCUUGAAGAAUUUUAGCAUAUUGAAGAAGUAUCAUAACUCCUAAUAGAUUUAAUUAUCACUAAAAUUAUUGAAAUAAAACCUCUAGAUGUGUUGUGAUCAUGAAUGCUUAAAUACAGUAAUUUUUAUUUAUUUUUAAAAUAAAUAAUAAAUUAAUUAAUUUAAUCUUAUAUAUUCUCUAGAUCAUGUGGUAUCUUUUAAUUUUUUAAUAUUAAUUUUUUUACAAAUUAAUUAUCAAAUUUAUAAAAACCCCAUGAAUAAUUGACUAAAUCGAUUCUUCCCUAACUUUCAAUAUCUUUCAUAAAUAGGUAAUUUUUUAAAAUAUUAAAGAGUAGCGUGGAAACUAAUUAUUAAUCUAAUUACGAUAUUAAAUAAAUAAAAAUUAGAUAUUUUUGAAAUUCAUGUACUAUAUAGUUAUUUUUUCAUAAAUAAAUUCUUAUUUGUAAUUAAUAAUUUACAUUAAUAAAAAUUUAUAACAUUACUUAUAUCAUCGUAAUAAAUUUAAAAAAUGUGGACUUUGUUGAGGCCUCGCGUCCGUGGUAAUCCAUGUAGUUGCCAAAUGGAUGGACGCACGAUCUCAACCAAUAUAGAUUUCUGGUUUAGUCGUUCCUGCAAAAGGCGUCUGGACAGGGUGUCUGGAUACACCCUCCGAUGGUAUUGUCAGCCAUGGUCCAAGAGAUAAAUCAGUUGGCCUUUUACUAGGUAUAUCAAAACUUACCUUCCUCUUUGUGCGAAGGUCCAUAUAUAUCGUCUCAGAAGCUCUAUCUCCCUCUUUAAUGAUAGAGAGAUAUUUUGGCUUGUCAUGAUGUCUCUAGGUGGUGACAGGGUCAUCAUCACUCGUAGGGCGGCUGACAAAGAUCGUGGGAGGCGCCGCAGCUGUCAGAGAUCGUAGGAAGUGACUUGCCAUCAUUCCUGUCCUUUCACUCUGCAGGUGGCGGAACGUGGGCCGUGAAAGACUGUCGGAAUGACGUAGUAAGACUUGCUUACUUUAGUCAACGAUCCGGACAAACAUAUCCGGAUAGGAUAUGUCAGUCGUUCGGAUGUGAUAUGACGAUCGUCCGGAUGUGAUGUUUGCGAGUGUCAUGUGCUUCUCCCUGAGGAAGUCCGGAUAUGAGAAGCGCGUCACGUGUCUCCUUUGGGGGAAAUCCGGAUGGAGCUAAUCCGGAUAGAAAUGUGUGCCACUUGUCAUCAGGGGGAGGGGUCCCUACAGACUUGUCGUUCAUUUCUUUCUCUCUCAAUAUAUUAUUAAAUACAUAAAUUAAUAAUAUUUAUUAAAAUGAUAUUUGCAAGUUGGGGGUGGGAUGAGAACUAUUAAAUACAUAAAUUAAUAAUAUUUAUUAAAAUGAUAUUUGCAAGUAGGGGAUGGGAUGAGAACUCGUGUUGGGAUUUUUGAUCCUAAACGUCUAAUUGAAGGGAUUUUGAAAAAAAAUAUUUAUUAAAGUAUAUCAAUUUUAAAACCAUUUUCAAAUCUACUAUAUUUUUUAUAAUAUCAAUUAAAAAUUAUCUUUUUAUAAAACACCAACUUUAAAUCAAAUAUGAAAAUUAUUUUGUGAAAAAUUAAUUUUAAAAUUCAACUAAGUUUUCUCUUCAGAAAACAACUUUUACUUUAAGUUUUUGAAAGUACUAUACAUUUGGAAGUAGUUUCAAAAGUGUGAUAUUUUAAUAAAUAUUUUUUAAAAUUGCAAUAUUUUUUUCAAAAUCUUGACACUUAAGAUAGAGUGGGCAAGCAUGGGAAAAAAAUUUACAUACACUCAAAUUUAUGUCUUAGACUAGGAACUGAAAAAUUGUGGGGCAUAUGGAUAAUACAAAAACAAUUAUCUUACUUAGAGUUACUUAUUAUUACUUAUUAUUACUUAUGCAUUAAUUAAAAGGAAAGUGUUAAGGUAUCCAAAUGCUACAUAUAGAACUUCAAAUUCGGACUAAAUUGAAUAUAUAUAUAUAUAAUGAUAUUUAAGUAAUGAAAAUUCAAACAACUAGGAUUAUGGUAUAAGAAUAGGAAUAAAUGAGAUUAUGAUACAAAUAAUAACAUUUGAAAAUGUAUACCUAAGAUCAUUUUAUUGAGUUUUUUCAUACAUUUAUUUGAGCUUAGGAUUGCAGAUGGUGCAUGUUGGGAAGUGUCACAAAUUCCUAAUUAGUAAAGAUUGAGAGAUAUUCAAUGGAACGAGAUGACUCGUGGUUCAAGGUGUAAAUAUAAAGAGUGAAAAUAUAUUUUGAGAACCUAAUAAUUAUAUUUGGUUUUGUCCUCUAUAAUGUUCUCUGUGAUAUAAUGAAAAGAUUUUCUCUCGUCCGUGAAUAUAGGUAUGAUUGAUCAAAUCACGUUAAAACCUCAUUGUAGCCUACUCUCUACGGUGAAUGGUUUGUUUUUGUUUUUUGUUUUUAUUUAUUUAUUUAUUAUUUUGUUCUUCUGACCACCCGGAAUCAUUAAAACCUCGUUGUAGCGCCCCUGCCUCCUGUGAAAGGGUUUGUUUUUGUUUCUAUUUUUUUUUUUUUUUUUUUUGUUAUUCUGAUCACCUCGGAAUUAAGCUGAUGGGGCGACCAAAUACGAAAGGGGAGAGAGAGAGGGAGUUUUGGGCAAACAUGAUUCCGAAAUUCACGGAAUCAUUAUUCUUAUUUUAAAGUCUUGGGCGACGGUGAAUAACUUUUUAAAAUUUCCUAAAAUUUUAAAGUCUCAAAUUUAUUUAUUUAUUUUAAAAAUACCAUUCUCAAAAUAAUUUUCUAAAAUUUGAUUUUAAAAAUUUAGUUUUCAAAACUUUAAUUCUCGAAAUUCACUCUUCUAAAACUCCAUUUUUUAAAAUUUAAUCAUUUAAAAUUCAAUUCUUGAAAUAAUUUUCUAGAAUUCUAAUUUUAAAUUUAAUUUUCCAAGAUUCAAAUUUUUAAAAUUUAAUUUUCCGAAAUUUCCACAAUCCCGAAUUUAAUUUUUUAUUUUUUAUUUUUUUAUGUCACAUUCAAAUAAAUUUUCGAAACUCCAAUUCCUUUUUAUUCAUUUACUUAUUGAUUUUUAAAAUUCCAUCUUUUAAAUAACUCUUCAAAAUUCUGUUUUUAAAAUUUAAUUCCAAUUUCCAAAAUUCCAAUUUUCGUAUCAAUUUAUUUAAUCAUUAUCACUUUAUUCAUUCAUUUAUUUGUUUAUUUUUUUAAAAUUCAAUUUUUAAAUAACUCUUCAAAAUUUCAUUUUUUAAAAUUUAAUUCCAAUUUCCGAAAUUCCAAUUUUCGUAUCAAUUUAUUUAAUCAUUAUCACUUUAUUCGUUUAUUCAUUUGUUUAUCUUUAAAAUUCAAUCUUUAACUCUUCAAAAUUUCGAUUUCUGAAUUUAAUUCAAAUUUCCAAAAUUCUAGUUUUCUUAUCGAUUUAUUUAAUCACUAUCAUUUUAUUCAUUUAUUUAUUUGUCUAUUUUUAUCAAAAUUCAGAUUUCCAAAUUAAGUUUCCAAUUUCCAAAAUUCCAUUUUUUUCAUUUACUUAAUCAUCAUUAUUUUCAUUAUUAUCAUUAUUCUAUUUAUUUAUUUCAAAAAUUCCUUCUUCAAAUGAUUCCAAUCUUAUGACUUUCGAAUUUAAUUUCUAAUCUAAAAAAUUUCAAUAUUUAUGUACGUUUUUCCCAAAACCCCAAUUUCCGAACUUAAUUUUCCAAAUUCCAAAAUUCUAAUUUCCUUCAAAUUUACUCUCCAAAAUUCUGAUCAUUAAAUUUAAUUCCCAAGACUCUAACUCCCAAAUAAAUUUCAAAAGUCCAGUUUUCACUCGAACGGUUUUGAUUCCACUCUAGUUUUCAAAUAAUCUUCUUUUUCUUUUGAUUUUAUAUAAGCGUGAAUGCAAUUUUCAUAAUUCCAAAAUAAUGGAAUUUGUGAUAUUAAUUCAUGCAAGAUUAAUCGGGCUUUGGUAGGGGCCCACAUAUGAGUUUUCUCUUCUGAUUGUAAAUUGUUAUGCUUGAUGAGUAUUGUUUGAUCUUUGUCUUGCUCUUUGAUAUGCAUGUGAUGAUUUUAUAUCUGAGCUAACCUUGUUUCCAUGAUAAUGCACUAUUACCUGCUGUCAAGAUACGCUCCCACUCCCGCUUUGCUUACUCUUAUGCGCGAUUCGUUUUAUUAUUUGAUCAUUUCAUUAAUAUCCAUUGACUUCCUUAUCAAUUGCCACACUUCCUUCACCUUAUUUAGUAGAGAUCCGAAUUUAGGGACUUAGAGGGGUGCUGCGGUCCUUAUCAUACCUUCCCGAUAAGUAACCUGACCCCCGAGCCUAAUCCGGUUUUUCACAGACCACCUUUUUCGAAAUAAUGAGUCACACUUAGGGUUUUAUUUCUUAUUUUAUUUACCCUUUAAAAAUAAAACAAAAAUAAGUAGUGACUCCAAGUCCUUUUUUAAUCAAUAAAUCAUUUUUUAAAAAUAAAAAUUGAACUCGCCAUCGAGUGGAAGCGCAUGAGCCGAAAUGCGGGGUCCACACUUACGUAAUCUAACAUUAUUUAUAUUAAAGCUUUUGUUAACGCAACAAACUAGUCUUCAAAUUGAUGAAUGGGGUUUUUUUUUUUUUUUUUUCNNNNNNNNNNNNNNNNNNNNNNNNNNNNNNNNNNNNNNNNNNNNNNNNNNNNNNNNNNNNNNNNNNNNNNNNNNNNNNNNNNNNNNNNNNNNNNNNNNNNNNNNNGGGGUUUUUUUUUUUUUUUUUUCUCAUUCAUACUGUGGACCCCGCAUUUCGGCUCAUGCGUUUCCCACUCGAUGGCAAGCUCGAUUUUUAUUUGAAAUUUUGAUUUUUAUUUGAUAAAGAAAAAUGACUUGGAGUCGCCACUUAUUUUUCUUUUAUUUUUAAAAAGGUAAACAAAAUAAGAAAGAAAAACCCUAAGUGUGACUCCUUAUUUUGGAAAAGGUGAUCUACGAAAUAUCGGAUUGGGUUCGGGGGUCAGGUUACUUAUCGGGAAGGUACGGUAUAAACCGUAGCACCCCUCUAAGUCCCUAGAGUCGGGUCUUUACUAAUACAAUGAAACUGACGUGGCAAUCAACGAGAAAGUCAAUGGAUACACACCUAAAUUAUACACAAUAUGGGAAUCAAAACACGCAAUAGAGAUUGACUAGAAUGAGAGUGGAUGCGUACCUCGACCACAAGCCACAAUGCGCUAUCAAGAAACGGGAUUAGUGCACAAUUAAGGAACACAAAAAAUAGCUCAUGCAUAUCGGAGUGCAAAACGAAGCUCAAGCAAAAUACAUUAAGAGCCCGUUUGGCAGUGAUUUUUAAAAGUGUUUCUACCCUUAAAAACACUUUUAAGUGUUUUUGGGAUGAAAAUAAAGUGUUUGGCAAAUUUUAAAAAACACUUUUGAAAAUCUGGAAAAACACUUGAAGUGAUUUUUAGAGAAUCACUUGAUAGGUGUUUUUUUAAAAAAAACACUUCAAUUUUUUUGAAAUAUUCCAAAAAUGCCCCCCAGUGAUAAAUCAAUUAGAAAAAUCUUUUUUUUUUUUCCAGAAAUUAAUAGGUGGUCAUAUAUUGUUUUACUUUUAAAAUUAUCUUUUAUUCAAUGUUCUUUUUUUUUUUUUAUUGAUUUAGAUGUUUUUUGUAAAUAUUUUUUAAAAUUUUAGUAUAGUGAUAAAAAAAUUAUUAUUUUUAAUUAGAAAAGUCUUUUUUUUUUUUUAGAAAUUAAUAGGUAAUCAUAUAUUGUUUUAAUUUUAAAAUUAUCUUUUAUUCAAUGUUAUUUUUUUAGUGAUUUAGAUGUUUUUUCAUUAAUAAAAAGUUUUUUUUGUUUAUCAUACCAUUUUUUUUUAAUUAAAAUUGUAUGUCCUUUUUGGUAAUUUAUUAAUAUUAAAAGUGUUUUUAUAUUUAUACAAUAUAUUAUCAAAAACACUUUAGAAUCAUUUUUUCUGAUUAUCAUAAAAGUGUUUUUCACAGAAACACUAUAACAGAAAACACUUCAAAUAAAAACACUUCCACUAGAAUCACUACCAAACGGGCUCUAAGUACGACAAUUGACAAUAAAAAAAGGAUCACACAUAGGGCCCCCACCAAAGCCCAAUUUAUUACUCAUGAACUAGUCUCACAAAUUCCGUGUUUUAGAAUUAUGAAGAAUUUAUUAUUGUUUAUGUAGAAUCAAGAAGAUCAGAAGAUUAUUUAAGAACCGGAAUAGAAUUAAAACUAUUCAAGUGAAAACUGGAUUUUUGGAAUUUACUUGAAAAUUGGAGUAUUGGGAAUUGAAUUUAAAAUAUUAGAGCUUCGGUAAUUAAAAUGAAAUUUGCCAAAGAAGAUGAGAAAUGAACUUUAGGAAAUUGAUUUGCGAGAAUAUGGGUUUUGAAAGUUGAAUUUGUAAUAAUAAUAAUAAUAAGGAGUGAACUUUAGGAAAUUGAACUGCGAGAAUAUAGAUUUUUAAUAAUAAUAAUAAUAAAAAAAAAUAAACUUUAGGAAAUUAAAUUGCGAAGAUAUAGAUUUUUAUUAAUAAGUAUAAUAAUAAUGAUAAUAAUAAUAUUAGGAAAUUGAACUGAGCGAGAGUAUAGAUUUUUAAUAAUAAUGCUAAUAAUAAUGCUAAUAAUAAUAAUAAUAAUAAUAAUAAUAAUAAUAAUAACCAUAAUAAUGAUAAUAAUAACAAUGAGGUUUUGGAAUAAUAAUAAUAAUGAUAACAAGAUUUUGAAAGUUGAAUUAAUAAUAAUAAUAAGAAUAAUAUUUUAAAAGUUGAAUUAAGAAUAAUAAUAACAAUAAUAUUUUAAAAGUUGAAUUAAUAAUAAUAAUAAGAUUUUAAAAGUUGAAUUAAUAAUAAUAAUAAUAAUAAUAAUAAUAAUAAUAAUCAUAAUAAUAAUAAGAAUAAUAAGAUUUUUAAAUAAUAAUAAUAAUAAGGUUUUGAAAGUUGAAUUAAUAAUAAUAAUAAUAAUAAUAUUUUAAACGUCGGAUUAAUAAUAAUAAUAAUAAUAAGAUUUUAAAAGUUGAAUUAAUAAUAAUAAUAAUCAUAAUAAUAAUAAUAAUAAUAAUAAGAUUUUGAAAUAAUAAUAAUAAUAAUAAGGUUUUGAAAGUUGAAUUAAUAAUAAUAAUGAUAUUUUAAAAGUUGAAUUAAUAAUAAUAAUAAUAAUAAUAAUAAUAAUAAUAUUUUAAACGUCGGAUUAAUAAUAAUAAUAAUAAUAUGGACUUCAAAAAAAUGGGCCUUAAUAAUGAUAAUAAUAGGCCUUGGACCUCAAAAAAAGGGCCUUGGGAAUGAAUAGUACAGGGGGCAUGAGGCCCUUCAUUAACGCGACUAGGCUUGGGCUUCCCCACCAGGCCCAUAUCCAUCAUCUUGGACAGGCCCCAAGCUCUAACUCCAUCACAUGCUUGGAUUGGGCCCCAACUCAAGCCCAAAUUAAAAGCAAACCCAAGAACACCAAAUUCUCUCACAGCCCACAUCUCCAACCUCCGCCUGGGCAUCACCAUCUAAAUACUCUGUGUCCUCGAGCUCACCGUCAACCUCAUCGCCUUCUUCAUCGGAACCCCACAUCUCAUCAUCCUCUUUCAAGGUUCGCCGCCCACGCGCACUCACACGCGCUUGCUCUGGUUGCCGAAGCCAAGGGUUGAACCAGUCUUGGACAGCCGCAAUAACGUCAGUGCGCGGGCAUCUGCUCAGUUCUCAUGUUAGACGAAGGAGAUGGGCCUUCCGAUCAGGGUUGAGGAGAAAAAGGGAGGAAGCGAUCCUGCUCGUUGGAGCAAUGCGCCAGGUGACCAUGGAGAUCGGUGGAGAAGUUACUCCUAGCCUCUGAGACGAGCAAUGGAGGAGGAGAAGCUCCACUGCCGCCAUUGAUUCAGCUGACUGGGCAAGCUUGAGGAGGCGGGUAUGAAGGAUGGCGGCCAUACAUGGCUAUGCGUGGCCACGUGAGAACGAGAGGAAUGAGUGCAAUGGACAAGGAAAAUGGGUUUGGAUAAGUUUAGAGAUAUGAUAUGCAUGGGCUGCUAGAGAGGAAUAUGAUGGAUGAACAUGGAGUAUACUAUGGAUGGGAAGGUAGGGAUGACUAUGCGCAUGGAGCUCCAUGCACACGAGAAGACAGAGAAUCAAAGGGUUAGUAUAGAUAGCAUGGGAUCUCAGACUUCAAUGUCUUCAAUAUUGCGUUCUCUGCAUCACUCCAAACAUGACGCUGGCUUUCAGGAUGGAGGCAAACAGAGCAAAGGAAAAAAAAAGCAAAACCAAGCAUGGAUAAUCGAAACAAAUGGAACCCAUAACAGCCUCAUGUUGUGCAUUAAUCCCUGGGCUUAGAUGGAGGUGGGUGAAAAUAAAGGAUCAUCAAACAAAACCAGAGCAUGGUUGCAGAUAUAUUAUGGGGAAAAACAAAGACGAAAUCACCUUAAGCAAGAACCAUUAAGAAGGGAUAUAUGGAUAUGCUUACCCUCAACACACAAACAUCACCCAAGAAUGGACAGAGAAAGAGAAGAGAACCAUACCUGUGAGUGAUCUUCUCUAACAAGAUCGAGCCAAAAACUCAGCAAAGCAUCCCUCUUUUCCCUUGCUUAGCUUUCCACCAUUCUCUCCUUUUCUUCCUUUCACUAUCUCCCAUCUCUCCCUCUUGUCCCGUCUUUUCCUCUCUGGCCCCCCACUUACUCCUCCUGCCACAGCCCCAAAGAAAAGAUAUAUUUAUUAUUAUUUUUUCUUUGCUGGCAGCUUCUCCUCCGAGCUAUCUCUCGCCGCCACCAGCAGCUCGCCUCAUCCCAUCCCAUGGCCGCCCGUUUCCCAGGUGGUCAGUAUAUAUAUAUAUAUAUAAACAAUCAGAUGUCUCUCAUGGGGGGUCUACACAUACUUUUAUUCAUUCAUGUAUAGAGUAUAUAUGAAGGAUAAUCACCAUUCUAAGAAUGGGAAAGAAUGAUACAAGGAAGGAAUGAUAUAAGGAAAUAAUGAUACAAGGAAAGGAAUAAUAUAAGGAAAUAAUGAUACAAGGAAAGCAUUCCUAAUAUCUCAACACUCCCCUCUUAAGGAAAAAAUGAUACAAGGAAAGUAUUCCUAAUAUCUCAACACUCCCCCUCAAGUUGGUGCAUAGAUGUCACACAUGCCCAACUUGUUUAAAAAUUUUGAGAACACUUGUCUUGAGAUAGCUUUGGUGAGGAUAUCAGCCAAUUGAUCUUCUGAUUUAAUCUUAGGCAAUUCCACAAUCUUAUCAUCCAACUUCUCCUUAAUGAAGAAUCUAUCCACCUCGACAUGCUUUGUAUGAUCAUGUUGUACUGGAUUAUGUGCAAUGUCACAUGCAACAUUAUUGUCAGAAAACAAUCGGAUUGGUUGCCUAGAUAGGUAACCUAAAUCCUGUAAGAGGAGUCUUAGCCAUAAUGCCUCACAAAGUCCUAAAGCCAUACCCCUAAAUUCUGCUUCUGCACUUGAAUGAGCAACGACAUUAUGCUUCUUACUUUCCAUGUCACAAGAUUACCACCUACAAAGAUAAAGUAACCAGAUGUAGACCGCAUAGCAUCCACUGUACCGACCCAAUCAGCAUCAGUAUAUACUUCUAUACUCUGAUGAUCAACAUUUUUAGCGAACAAAAUUCCCUUCCCAAGAGCAUUCUUCAAAUACCUCAAAAUACAUAUGAUUGCAUUCAUAUGUUGUUCUCCAGGAUUAUGCAUGUAUUGACUCACUAUACUCAGUGCAUAAGCAAGAUCUGGUCUGGUAUGAGCUAAGUACAUUAAUCUCCUUACAAGUCUUUGGUAUCUUCCUUUAUCGGUUGAUACUUGAUUAGGCUCAACACACAAUUUCAGACCUUUUUCUAUUGGUGUAUCCAAGGAUAGAAAUAUCGGUAAAUACGGAUAUAUCGGUACUUGGAUUUUACGGAUAUAUCGGAAAUAUCGGUGGAUUUUUCAUCAAAUAUCGGUGAGACAAAAAUUAUCCAAAAUUGAUGGGAAUGCUUAGAAAAAUCCAAAGAAUGAUAAAAUAAGCAAGAAUAUACAUGUUAAAGUUAUUUUAUAACUGUAAUUGACAUAAAUAUGGUCAAAGAAAAAAAUAUCGGUAAAUAGUUUACGAUACUUGGAUUUUAAGAAUAGAAAAUAUGAAAUUUGGAAUUGUACACUUAGAAAGUUAGAAUUGAGUUAAGAAAUAUUUGAUUUUAUUAAAUGAAAACAAUUUACACAUAAACAUAAUACAUAUGACAUUGCAAUGGUCCUUAAUACCAAAAUGAAGAUCGAUGUGGUUCCAUCAUAUUGUUAUUGUUAGAUGAAGGGAGCCCAUCUUGUUGAAGACAAUAUUCAUACCAGGACAUGGAGUUUCGAUAGUAUUGAUUGUAUGUACGAACAUGCCAUGCAUAAAUUUCUUGAGUCUACCAACAACUUGUCCAUGGAUAGGAAAUCCAAGGUUUUCCCAUGUGCUCGUUUGAAAUCCUUGUUGUUGCAACUGAUGUGGAAGGUAGUAUGGCAUUUGUGUGGAAGAAGGAUAGUUAUACCUUUCAUACUCUUCAUCAGUGGAACUUGAAAGAUUUUGAGGAGGCUGACCAUAACUCAUUGCAUAAGGGGCAUAAAUGUUGGCUUCGUUUGAUGAAUCACUGAAUUGAGUCUCUACACUCAUCGACUCAAAACUGGCCGACAAUGAGUCCUCGUUGUACAACAUCAUCCUUCGUUGUCUUCCUCUAUAUGGCUUUCCAAUGGCUCCAACACCUGGACCGGCUCUUCUAGAGCCGUGGUCUUCAUCUUGAGUACAAUGUGUGAAAUCAUCUUCACAAGUAAAUGCCAAUGGUUGUCCACUUUGUUGUUGUUGUCUAACAUCCCCUUCAUCAUUUCCAAGGUCGCUACCAUCAUUGGUCCCCUCUUCUCUUGAACCAUCAUAACCGGAAGCGGAGGCGAAAGUACCAGUAGCACUAGGUCUACUACUAUGUUCAACACUCGUGGAGUCAAAAGAAGGUCGAGAAGUGACUGCCGGCUGAGAAAUUCCUUGUCAAAAUGAAUAUCUCGUGUCUUGGCUGAAACUAUCAGUAUGAACUUCUUCGGAUAACACUCAAUCAACAUCAACACCUGCUUCUCGGACAUGUGCGGCAAUUCGUGGGUCGGGAUUUCCAUCUUCAUCAUCUAAAUGAAGAGGUCUAACCCAUUGAAACAAUUGGUUAUCUUCUUCUUCACCAACCUCAGUUGCAAUGUCAAGUAAAUCGAGGUAAUCUUUCUCUGCAACUUUGUCAUGUUCUGCUUCCAUGUCACGUAUCUUUAGUUUCAUGUUAUAAUAAUAGAAAACUAAUUGUUGGAGCAUCGGGUAAGCAAGCCGAUUUCUUUGUUUUGUAUGAAUUAAGGCAAACGUGCUCCAAUUUCUCUCACAAGCUGAAGAUGAUGCAGUUUGCGAUAAAGCCUUGAUGGCCAACCUUCUUAAUGUAGGAGUGUGAUUUCCAUACAUGAACCACCAUUCAGCUACAACCAAAUAAAUGAUAUCAAUACUUAUAUUGGAAAGUUACAAUAAUAUGCUAAUGAAAUGAAUUAUUAAUUCACAAAUAAUACUCACCGGGAACCAUUUCUGACCUCGAAGCAAUCGCUGCUCGAUCACCGAAUCCUCUUUUUGCAUCUCGAAAUAGUAUAAUCUACAUAUUAAAUAAUUGAAAGUGAAAAAGUUGAGUAAAUGAAAUUCAAUUAUUUAAUUUAUAUUAUAACUCUAAUAAUUUACCUCAUUUCCAAAUUGACUAAGACCUUCUGAUGUAGGAUCUAAUUUCGCAAAGACUUCAUGAACAGCUUGAAGUAGAUCAGGAUCAGUACCAACUCCACGUUUAUAUUGAAAUCUUGGAUUAAGAAAGAAUGCUACAAUAGUAAAGUAGAAAUGUAAAAUUAGAAUGUUAUGAAAGAAACAUAUUAAAUACCUAUAAAUUUCAAAGAUGAAUAAUACUUACCUGCUGCAUGAAGAGGAUGUUUAAGAGUUCUAUCCCAACGAUCUGCAAUUAUUUCUAACACCCAUUCUUUAGCAUUAAGUCGAAUGAGGUUCUCUUUCAUAACUCGAAUCAAUUCAUACACAAAUGGCAUUGUAGGAACAACUUCUGAAUCGACAAUGCGAAGAACUGUGUAUAACGCCUCAUAUAUUGACACUCACUUUCCCACUCUUUCCCAGUACGCAUGGUCAAACAUAAGUGAUUCAACUUCUUUGCCGAUUAAUGUGCGACUUAAGUUGUGUUGUGCCCAUUCAUCACUGAUAAACACUUUCUUCAAGUUUGCUUUCUUUUUCAAAAGACUGUCGAGGGCUAUAUAAUUGGUUGCAAAUAUUGUUGCUCCAGGACGAACUAUGUCUCCACCACACACCUUCCGCAUCUGUGCAAGCAACCAACCAUGGUUAUAAAUGAAGUUGGUUAUCUUUCGAGCCUUUGUAAUCACAUCUGCAACACUCGUCCUUUUACCGAUGUCUUCGAACAUUAAGUCGAUGCAAUGUGCUGCACACGGAGUCCAAUAAAGAUUGUAUUUUUUCAUUAACAACUUCCCCGCCUUCACAAAUGCCGACCCAUUAUCUGUAACUAUUUGGACCACAUUUUGUUUGCCAACUUCCUUGAUUACAUCCUUCAACAAACCAUAUAUGUAUUUGUUGUCCUUUAUAUUAUUUGAUGCAUCAACAGAUUUGAGGAAGAUUGUGCUACCUUUUGAAUAUACCAUGAAAUUAAUUAUGCUUAAUUUCGUGGGUCCAGUCCAUCCGUCAGACAUAAUCGUGCAUCCAUAAGUCUUCCACUUUUCUCUUUGAAUAUUGACAUAAGCUUCCAUGUCUUUGUACUCCAUAUCCAAAUACUCGUGUUUGAUUUCAUAAGGAGGCGGUGGUUCUAUACCCAUACCUACCAUCCAUAUAUAAUUAAAACAUAUAAGAACAUUUGUGGCAAUCAUACUAUAUAAAUAGUAAUGAUAUUGUUAAAAUGAAUACAACUUUUAAAAUUAUAGUAAUUACCUGCUUGUUGUGCACCAAUAAUCAUGUUCUUGAAGUGGUGAGAGUCUGCUUUAUUGGGCGGAACACUCUCAUAUAUGAAGAACUUACUGAUCAAAAGUCCCAUGGUUUCCUUGAUGGCACCACAUUUGAAAAGAUUUUUCAUAGUUUUCUGUCUUGCCGCUGAAGAUUUGUACAAUGAGGGUGCAUCAGGCAGUGAUGGAUCUGAAUAUCGAACACUUUGCGAUUUUCGCAUUUGCCUUGUUGUUGGAUUGGUUGGAUGUGAAGACUCGCCUAUUAUAAUUAUUAAAAUUAAACAUAUAUGCUAAUUUAAUAUUAUUGAUAAAGUUGAUAAGAAAUAGUAAUAAUUCAAAUUAAUAUUAUACUUGUUUUUCUUUUGCUUUUUAUAAAAUGUUCUUCUUGUUGUCGAUUCCAUUCAGCAGCUUUUGAUGCUUGAACCGCCUCUCUAUAAGCAUGUCGCUCAUCAGGGUGCAUGUCAGCCGGAUACAUAUACACAUCAUCAUCUCCAUCAUCAUCAUCACCACCAAGGUUCUCCUCAUCGUCCUCAUCAAUUACAUGUCUAUGUCUUCUUCCCAUUGUGUCUCGCAGUUCUGAUCGAAUCUCUUCUAUAUCUGCAGCUUUCUUCGCUUUUGCCUUAUUUUUUUGCUCUAGAAGUCGUCUUAUUUCUUGUUUCACUUCUGGAGGCACGUUAAGACACUUUUUUGUAUUUGAAUUAGGGUCUGUAUGUGAUAGGUGAAAUUUAAAACAAGUAAUCCCACCACUCUUUAUUGCCAACCCACAGUAAUUGCAUAUUGUUCCAUUUUUGUUCCCUUCCAUAGGUGUACAAUAUUUCCAACAAGGAUCUCGACCCAUGAUACCACUUUCACUAGCCAUUUUCUAAAAUUGAAUUAUGAAACUAAUAUCAAAUUUAAAAUUAUUAAAGAUAAAACAUGUAUGAAAUUUAAUAUUCAUGAAAUUGAUAAGAACUAAUAAAAAUUGAAAUUAAAAUUGAAUUAUGCACAUAUGAAAUAGAUAAACAUUACAAUAAAAUUUCAAUAUGAAUUAAAUUUAAAUUAAAUUAAAUUUGCAUAUUCAUGAAAUUGAUAAGAAUCAUUACUAAUAAAAAUUAAAAUUAAAAUUGAAUUAUGCAUAUAUGAAAUAGAUAAACAUUACAAUAAAAUUUUGAUAAGAAUUAAAUUAAAUUAAAUUAAAUUAAAUUUGCAUAUUCAUGAAAUUGAUAAGAAUCAUUACUAAUAAAAAUUAAAAUUGAAUUAUGCAUAUAUGAAAUAGAUAAACAUUACAAUUACAUUUCCAUAUGAAUUAGAUAAUAUCAAUUAAACUAUAUAUAACAAAUAAAAUUGAAUUAUACAUAAUAAAAUAAAUUUUAUGGAAGGUAAGACAUACCUUAAUUAGCCUUGACUUGGAGUUAAUCCCCUUCACCACCAAAUUUUCAAAAUAAAAAAAUUUUGCUAGAUCAUAUAAGAAUUUUGAUGUAUGAAAUGGAAUGGAAUGUGGGUAUUUAUAGGAAUUUUUUGGUCAAACUAGCCAUUGGAUGGUCAAAUAGUCGUUAUAAAUUAAUUUUAACCGUUGGAUCAAAAUUUGGUUCAAAUUUCACCAUUAGAUUUUCAUAUAACCGUUGGAAACACUCCAUAGCCCUUGGAUAAAGUGAAGAUUGAUUUUCCACCAUUGGAUCACAAAUCUGACCGUUGGAGGCCUUUACAAAUACACGGGUGAAAUCUGGGCCAUCAGAUCCUCAAAAAUUCAAAAUUGGCCAUCAGAUCAAAAUCAUUGGAGCUGGGAAAAAUCGGCGAUUUUCUCGGUAAAAAAUCGGCGAUAUAUCGGUAAAAUCGUCGAUUAAUCGCUGAUUUUUUCAACUCCUCUGGCAGCUUCUCCGCGCGUGCCUCCACUCUUCGAUUUUUUGCCGAUUUAUCGGUGCUUCACCGAUAUUUCGCCAAUAUAUCGGCGAUUUUGCCAAUUUUUGGCCGAUUUUUCCAUCGAUCGAUAAUCGGUGACGAUUAUUGUUUCAGUGCCGCCCGAUAUCCGAUAUUUAUUCGAAAUAUCAACGAUAUAUCCCGAUUUUUCAAUCCCUGGGUGUAUCAACAAGUUGACAUCCCGACAUUCCAGUCUCCUAUAAAAGAUUUAAGGCAUACUUUCUUUGAGACAGAAAAAUUCAUUCACUUGAUUGAGAAACUUCAAUCCCAAGAAAGUAUUUCGGAGGACCUAGAUCUUUCAUUUCGAAUUCUCUAGAUAGAUAAUUCUGUAGAGCUUUUCUUUCUUCAGGAUCAUUUCCUGUAACUACCAUGUCAUCCACAUAUACGAUGAGUGUCGUAAUCUUACCAUGUUGCUUUUUCAGGAACAAAGUGUGAUUUGAAUUACUUUGAUGAUAGCUAAAAGCUCUCAUUGACUUUGUGAACCUUCCAAACCAUGCUCUCGGGGAUUGCUUCAACCCAUACAAUGAUUUCUUCAAUUUGCACACCUUCUGACAUUGCUUUUCUGACCCCAUGCAUCCUGAUGGAAGAUCCAUAUAUACUUCUUCAGAUAACUCGCCAUGUAGAAAGACAUUUUUUACAUCGAAUUGUUGUAAUGGUCAAUCCAGGUUUGCAGCUAAAAACAGUAAUACUCGAACUGUAUUGAUCUUAGCUACAGGUGCAAAUGUCUCUGUAUAGUCAAUUCCAUAAGUUUGAGUGUACCCUUUUGCUACCAAUCUUGCUUUAAAACGUUCAAUACUACCAUCUGCCUUGUACUUCACAGUAUAGAUCCAACAACACCCAACUGGCUUCUUUCCUGGUGGACAUUCUACGAGUUCCCAUGUUUCAUUCUUCUAUAAUGAUUUCAUAUCUUCAUUCAUGACUGCUUUCCACCUUGGAUUAGCUAAGGCUUCCUGCACACUGUUAGGAAUAGUUACAAUAGAUAAUUGAUUUACAAAUGACUUAUUUGAUUCAGACAAACAAUGGUUAGAUACAUAGUUGCUCAUGGGAUAUUUGACAUUGGUAGACAAUUUAGGUUCAUAUGUGGGUUUAGGAAUAUCUCUAUUAUGACGGUGUGGAAACCGUUUUGUGAAUGGAUUAGGUUCCAAAUUAAGAACACCCUCAACAGACGACGAUUGGUUUGGUAUUUCAGUGAAGGCAUCUUUAGACCCAAAUUGCUCGGAUGGUUCAAUUGUACUGUCUCUCCCCUCUUUUAUCACUUCUUCAGCUUCUGGGUGGUCAUUACUACCUGGUUCACCCGCUUCUUUAUUCACUAGUUUAGAUUGUCCAUAUUCAUCCUCCUUAGAGAUAUCAUAAUCGAGAGUCUGAAUUUCCUUAUAGUACUCCCCUUGAAGUUCAGACUCAAAUGAAAAAUACAUUGAAUCUUCAUGAAACACCACAUCCAUUGUAAUAAACAUUCGUCGAGUUGGAGGAUGAUAACAUCGAUAUCCCUUUUUGUGCAAUGCAUAUCCAACAAACACAUAUUGCAAUGCACGGGAAGUUAACUUGGUGCGUUGGUGUUUGUGUAGAUGCACAAAUGCCAUGCAACCAAAAACACGAGGAGGUAGAUUUGGGAUGGUUGGGGCAACUACAACAUUAGUAAGAGCUUGGAGAGGUGUUUGGAAGUCAAUUGAACUGGAAGGUACCCGAUUGAUCAAGUAUGUAGCAGAUAUGAUUGCUUCUCCCCAAUAAGAUAUCGACAUUUUUGCUGCUAUCAAGGAAGCAUGAACAACCUCUAACAAGUGCCGAUUUUUUCGUUCAACGACUCCAUUUUUCUGGGGUGUAUUGGAACAAGUAGUCUGAUGAAUGAUGUCAUGUCCUUCCAAAUACUUUUGAAGAUCAGAAUUAUGAUAUUCUCCACCAUAUCGCUACGCAGAACCCGAACCUUUGCAUUGUAUUGAGUUUCAAUCAUUUUAUGAAAAUUUUGAAACAACAAGUUCACUUCAUCUUUGGUCUUCAUCAAGCAUAACCAGGUCAUUCUGGUACAAUCAUCAAUAAAAGUAACAAACCAACGCGAGCCUCUCAAAGUUGGGACUUUGGAUGGGCCCCAAACAUCAUAAUGUAUAACCAUAAAAGGAAGCGGACUUUUAUUCAAAAUUAACGGAAACGAAGUACGAUGACUUUUAGCCAAUUCAAAAAUAUCUCAACGAAAACCAGAAAUAUCACUCAUUGCAAACAAAUUAGGAAACAAUUUUUUAAAAUAGCCAAAGGAAGCAUGUCCCAAGCGUCGAUGGCACAACCAAAUUUCAGACUUUUUCUCCUCCCCCUCAAAUCCAUCUAUCAUCAAGGCUUGUCGUAAUUUAUUGGAAUCCUUUGACUGCAAGUCCAAGUAAUAGAGUUUUUCCACUUAAUACCACAACCAAUCGUCUGUCUUGUUUGGAUGUCCUUAAAAACACAAAAUUCAGGCCAAAAAAUGACAAUACAAGAUAAUGCUGCAGUGAUUUGAGAAAUUGACAAAAAAUUGUAAUCUAAAGAUGGAACAACUAAAAUAGAAUCCAAAUUCAAAGUAUCAGUAAGAGUUAAGGAUCCUUCCCCAAUGACUGGGGUUGUGUUACCAUUGGCUGUGGAAAUAAUUUUUUGUGAGGAAGGUAUAAGGGGUGAGACCUGUCUAGAAUCAAAAGUCAUAUGAUCUGUAGCACCAGAAUUAAUUAUCCAUGCACUAUUAAUAACAGGUGUAGAAGUAUUCAAAAACUUACCAUCAUAAUCUAUAUUGGCUACCAAUGCAGAGACAUUCUCAGUAACAUUAGCCUCUGUUUUUAUUUCGGCAAUAGCUGCAGUCGAGGUUUUCUUGGAAUUCUUCUUCCGUUGAUCACGAUUAUGAUCCCACCAGUCUGGAUAUCCCACAAUUUCAAAGCAACAACUCUUGGUAUGACCAGUCUUAUUGCAGUGAGUGCAUUUGAAGGUUGACUUAUCAAUAUUAGGGCCCGUCUUAGGAUGGUUGGUCUUGGAUUGGUCCUGCCAAUUCUGGGUUGAUCGCUGUCGGACUACCAUAGAUGAGGUGUCAGGAUUGUCAUAUUAUGUUUUCAUACUAGCAUGACGCACUGCCUCUCGUCGAAUCAGUGCAUAGCAUUCUUCCAAAUUGGGAAGAAGAUCUUUGCGUAGAAUCUCUCCUCGAACUUGCUCAAAGUCACCAUCCAAUCCAGCAAGAAAGAUGUGCACCCAUUGUUGUUCAAUGGAUUUCCGAUAUGUUGUAAUGUCAUCAGGGUCUUUCAUGACCACCUUAUCCCGAUGAUCCAAUUCGCAAAAAAUCUCAGUUAACUCUCCGUAAUAUUCAGAAAGAGACCUGCCGCUUUGUUUGGAAGUGAAUACUUUUUUUAUUCAAAGUGAAAACUUGUAAUUCAUCGCUUCCAUCAUAGAAGACAUUUGAUAAUGCACUCCAAAUUUCUUGAGCGGUGGGUAAGCGUAAGUAACACUUCAUAAUUUCUUGACUCAUGGACAUUAACAACCAUUUCUUCACCUUUUGAUUCUCAGCAUACCAUUUUUCAUAUCUAUCUUCUGACUCUUUUGGUGGAUUUGUUUUACCUCGAAUGUAGGAAAGUUUUUCCCGUUCAACAAUAUGCAUCUUCAUAAGUUGUGACCAAACGUCAUAGUUUGAUUCAAUCAAAAUAAUUCCUAGAUUAAAAGUACCUUCAGAUUGAAAAAUAAUAGUAUUUUUUUCACUUUUUUUUUUUUUUUGAUGAUUAAAUAUAAUAUAUAUUCAACUGGUGAUGUAGGAAGAAAGUGACAAAAAAUAGGGGACCCUAAAUAGAAAGAAAGAUUUUUCAAGAAAAUCAAAUAAUAGAGAAAAAAAUAGUAGAAGACACUGAAAGUACAAAUAAGCAUGCCAGGUUGUAGGACAAUGUCAGUUUUCCGGCAACUGUCCAAGAUUUCAGUUCCAUGGCUUUGAUACCAUCUUCAAAUUAAUGAAUGAGGUUUUUUUUUUUCUCAUUCAUAUUUUUAUUCAUUCAUGUACAGAGUAUAUAUAAAGGGUAAUCAUCAUUCUAAGAAUGGGAAAAAAUGAUACAAGGAAUGAAUGAUAUAAGGAAACAAUGAUACAAGGAAAGGAAUGACAUAAGGAAAGAAUGAUACAAGGAAAGUAUUCCUAAUAUCUCAACAACUGGUAUAUCACUUUUGACGAUAAAAGGAAUUUUAGUUAAAAGUGAGGUUAAUUGCUCUAUUGUAAUGAUAUGAUAUAAAAUGUCUCUUUGAUGGAAAAAAUUGAAAAUUGAGUUCAUAGAAUUUAGUCUGAAAAUUAUUGAAAAAUGUCUCAAAUUCUUAAUUAAUAAAAAUUUAUUUUUACACAGAAUAUUAUAUAAAAUAUUUUCUAAAUUAAUACAUCAUUGUAAUAUUAUAUUAUUUUAUAGAAUAAACAAAGUUAUUAGAAAUAUCUUAAUAAAUAUUUUAGGUUAAGAAAAGAAAAAGUUAAUAAGAUAAAUAUGAGCUUUUAGAGACUACACAUUGUUUUAUCUUAGUAUCGGAAGGCCAGGUUGCGGAGAAGUUGAACAUGGAUAAAGCAUAUGGGCUGGCCUUACAAUGAGCCGCCCCACUAAUGGUGCACCCACAGCCGAGGCUGUCACCCCAAGGUUUCGGGAAGUAAAUGAGGUUGUUUUCCCAUGAUUAAAACAGAAAACUUGAUGAUGGAUUUGGCUGAAUAAUUAUGACGUUGGAGAGCGAUGGAGUGUAGUAGUUUCGUGAUGGGUUUUCCCUCAGCCACGUGGACGUUAAUAUUGUAAACGUUGACUCUGAAGGAGCUAUCUAAUAAUGCAAUAUGUCGGAUUAAAAAUUAAAUUAUUUACCCCACAAUAUGAAUGUCGAGCGUAGGAGAAGAAAGUCAUAUGAUGAAUAUGAAGGCAUCACAAUCUAAAGAGUCGUGCAAUGCGGCGAGUGAAUAUGACCAAUAAAAGCACGAAAACUGAACGGGAGUCGCUUCAUCUGUCCUGCAUUCAUUUACAUUCUUUGCCCCAUUGGUUAAGAAUCCGUCCUGUUCUAGGAAAAUUUUUCCCAUCAUUUCGAAUGUCUUCCCAUUUAAAUAUGAAAUUUUGAAUGGUCGUGUAUGAUUUUUUUCUUACUAGCCAUUAUUUUGAGAAUAAUACAAGUUUGACCAACACAACUAUGUCUUUUUUCCUCAUAAUAAAUUUCCAAUCUUGAUUCAUUAUAAUUUUUUAAUGAAAUAAUUCAAAAAAACUACAUACAAGUUGUUAUACAUCUUGCUCAUGUGUGUAAAAGGAAAGAGAUACAUCCUUGUUUUUCAACUAUUAAAAUGAUAUCCUUGGGCCAAUUCUUUCAUUACGUCUGAAUAUUUUGGGAGAAUUGUGGAACCAUUUUGAGACAGUGAAUUUAAAUAGCAUUUUUAAUAUUUUAAAAAAUUAUUAUUAAAAACGUUUUUUAAUAUCCAUUUUUUCAACAUCAGGACCAAGAACGCAAAAUAAAAUAUAAUUUUCCCUACUUGCUACCAAAGAUUUUGGUUGAUUAUUUUUCUGAUAAUAAAUAAUAUUUUAUUUUGCGUUCUUGGUCAAAAAAUGGAUAUUAAAAUAUAUAUAAUUUUUCAGCUACAACAGCGCGCACGGAGCACGCUCUUAGUUAGAACACACUUGUACCCGUCAUCUUUGAUUUAGCUAACCCCGAAUCUCCCUUUAUAUUCCUCUCUGGAUUCAGGAGCCGAGACUCAGAGAUAAGCCAAGAAGCCAUGAAUCCCCUGGCGCUGAUUUUCUGCACGGCUCUCUUCUGCAUUCUCCUCUACCACUUCCUCACGCGCCGCUCUGUCCGCCUCCCUCCGGGGCCCAAGCCAUGGCCGAUUGUGGGGAACCUCCCUCACCUGGGCCCCGUCCCUCACCACUCCAUUGCUGCGCUCGCUAAAACCUACGGCCCUCUCAUGCAUCUCCGUAUGGGCUUCGUCGACGUCGUGGUGGCCGCCUCCGCCUCCGUUGCCGCUCAGUUCUUGAAAACUCAUGAUGCUAAUUUCUCCAACAGGCCUCCUAAUUCAGGUGCCAAGCAUAUCGCCUACAACUAUCAGGAUCUGGUGUUCGCUCCCUACGGCCCCCGGUGGCGCAUGCUCCGCAAGAUUUGCUCCGUCCACCUCUUCUCUGGCCAAGCCUUGGAUGAUUUUCGCCAUAUCCGACAGGUACCUAGCUUAAUCUCUCUCAGAAAUGAAUCCUUUCUCAAUUUUAAUCCAUUUUUCGUUUUUUCUUCCUGAUCGCUUCUAUUAUUUCAUCGCAAAUUAAGAUCUGGUUACACAGAUUUCAUUUUUCCAUAAAAACAUGUAAGAAAAUAAUAGCAUGUGUUCACCAUCAUUGUCUAGUCCUGUCAGAGUAUUUGCAGUCUCCACUCUCUCUGUAUACACUACACAUCUUUUUGAAGAAGGCCCGGCUCCACAAGUUUAUUAUUACUAUUUUUUUAAUGAUUUUUUUUAGUAAGGUUGUUUUCCUCCGGCAGUGGAAGUCCGUGCAUUCACGCGAGACUUUACCAUUUAAUAUUUAAAAUUAUAUUUUUUUAAUGUUUGUUUUAUAAAAAUACUGAACUGACAAAUGAGUUGCCGCUGAGUUUUAUCCAAUUUUGAUGAUUAGAAAAAUAAUCAGUAGAUGAAAAUUUAUGUGACGUACAGGAGGAGGUUUUGGCGCUAAUGCGCGCACUUGCGAGGGCGGGUCAAACGCCGGUGAAGUUGGGGCAGCUGCUGAACGUGUGCACUACCAACGCCCUAGGGCGGGUGAUGUUAGGCAGGAGAGUGUUCGGCGACGGCAGCGGAGGCGAAGAUCCGAAGGCCGACGAGUUCAAAGAGAUGGUGGUGGAGCUGAUGGUCCUGGCCGGAGUUUUCAACAUCGGCGACUUUGUGCCGGCGCUGGAAUGGCUGGACCUGCAGGGCGUAGCUUCCAAGAUGAAGAAGCUCCAUGCUCGGUUUGACGCUUUCCUGGGCGCCAUCGUGGAGGAGCACAAGAUCAGCGGCUCUGCUGGUUCCGAGCGUCACGUGGACUUACUCAGCACGUUGAUCUCGCUGAAGGAUAAUGCCGACGGUGAGGGAGGCAAGCUCACCGACGUUGAGAUCAAAGCCUUGCUCUUGGUAUCUCUCAUUAUCCAUUUUCUGUCACUGUUUCGUCUACUUCUUGUGGUAAUUUGGCACCUGAAAUUGAUGAAAACCGUCUGUUGACAUGGCAGAACUUGUUCACAGCUGGAACUGACACCUCAUCCAGCACAGUGGAGUGGGCCAUUGCAGAGCUCAUUCGCCACCCUGAAAUGAUGGCCCAAGCCCAACAAGAGCUGGACGCAGUGGUGGGCCGAGGCAGGCUUGUAACUGAUUUGGACCUGCCCAAACUUACCUAUCUCCAAGCCAUAGUCAAGGAAACCUUCCGCCUGCACCCAUCCACGCCCCUCUCCCUCCCUCGGAUGGCGGCGGAGAGCUGUGAGAUCAACGGCUACCACAUCCCCAAAAACGCCACUCUUCUAGUGAACGUGUGGGCCAUAGCGCGGGACCCAGAGGUGUGGGAGGAGCCACUAGAAUUCAGGCCCAACAGGUUCCUCCCAGGAGGGGAAAGACCAAAUGCGGACGUGAGAGGGAAUGAUUUUGAAGUGAUUCCAUUCGGGGCUGGCCGGAGAAUAUGCGCGGGGAUGAGCUUGGGACUGAGGAUGGUGCACCUGUUAACCGCGACGCUUGUUCAUGCGUUCAACUGGGAGUUGCCGGAAGGCCAGGUGGCGGAGAAGCUGAACAUGGAUGAGGCAUAUGGGCUGACCCUACAACGAGCCGCCCCACUCAUGGUGCACCCACGGCCAAGGCUGUCACCCCAAGUUUUCGGGAAGUAAAUGAGGUUGUUUGCCCAUAAUUAAAGUAGAAGACUUGGUGAUGGAUUUGGCUGAAUAAUUAU